RNAcentral lists this long non-coding RNA (428 nucleotides) under Ananas comosus (pineapple). RNAcentral's name for it is "long non-coding RNA (ACOM_LNC000268)". The record is from RNAcentral. Lineage: Eukaryota; Viridiplantae; Streptophyta; Magnoliopsida; Poales; Bromeliaceae.
GAUUGUCUUGUUUCUUUUUUAGGUAAAAACAUAUAUAAUUUAUCUAAACCAUGGACCAUUUUAAAACGGCUAUCCAACCUGUUAAUAUUUUAAUUUUAUUUUCUAAUCUUUUAAUUUGUUUGAUUUGAAUUGGUUAAUAGUACUUUAAUUUAAAAUAUAAGCUAAUUAUCUGCUCAAUAAAUUUAUAAGUACGAGAAAUAUUAACUAAACCUAUAAAGAUAAACUAUAUAUUGAAAUUUUGAAGUUAAAGGGUCAUUGACUGACUCAAAUCAAAUAAAUUAAAAAGUUAAAUAGUAAAAUUAAAAUUUUGAAAGGUUAUGUACUCGUUUCAAAAUAAUUUAUAGUUCAGGUAAGUUUCGUAUAUUUUUACUUUUUUUUUUAUAUAGAUGGAUAUAUUUUUAAUUUUUUUUUGGAGUUGAAUUAAUAUU